RNAcentral lists this ribosomal RNA (904 nucleotides) under uncultured Parcubacteria group bacterium. RNAcentral describes it as "bacterial SSU rRNA". It matches the Rfam family "Bacterial small subunit ribosomal RNA", at positions 1 to 916 of the family's 1533-position model. The record is from RNAcentral.
CGAAAAUGCACGACUAGAGCUUGAGUGUCGAGCGACGUGUUUCAACACUCUGAAGAUGAUUUCGAUCGUCAAUAGAGUGUUGAAAUUACGAGCGGCAAACGGGUGAGUAACACAUUAGUAACCUACCUUCAAGACGGGGAUAGCCCAUCGAAAGAUGGAUUAAUACCCGAUAGUCAUAGAUAGACUUAUGUCAUUCUAUGUAAAUCUUUUUGGCUUGAAGAGGGGCUUAUGUCUGAUUAGCUAGUUGGUGAGGUAAUGGCUCACCAAGGCUUCGAUCAAUAGCAGGCGUGAGAGCGUGACCUGCCUCACUGGGACUGAGACACUGCCCAGACUCCUACGGGAGGCUGCAGUCAAGAAUAUUCCACAAUGGACGAAAGUCUGAUGGAGCGACGCCGCGUGCAGGAAGACGCCCUUCGGGGUGUAAACUGCUUUUUUUAGGGACGAAUCAUUGACGGUACCUGAAGAAUAAGAGGUUGCUAACUCUGUGCCAGCAGCAGCGGUAAUACAGAGACCUCGAACGUUAUCCGGAUUCAUUGGGCGUAAAGCGUCCGCAGGUGGUUUAUUAAGUUAGUGGUUAAAUCCUGGAGCUUAACUUCAGGACUGCUGUUAAUACUGAUAAACUCGAGGUUGGGAGAGGUGAGCGGAAUUCUCGGUGUAGUCGUAAUAAGCGCUGAUAUCGAGAAGAACACCUAAGGCAAAGGCAGCUCACUAGAACAUACCUGACACUCAUGGACCAAAGCGUGGGUAGCGAAUGGGAUUAGAUACCCCAGUAGUCCACGCCCUAAACGAUGCAUACUAGGUAUUGGAAGUAUCGACCCUUCCAGUGCCGUUUAAAAAAGCUAACGCGUUAAGUAUGCCGCCUGGGGAGUACGACCGCAAGGUUAAAACUCAUAGGAAUUGACAA